RNAcentral lists this ribosomal RNA (494 nucleotides) under uncultured bacterium. RNAcentral's name for it is "partial 16S ribosomal RNA". It matches the Rfam family "Bacterial small subunit ribosomal RNA", at positions 28 to 507 of the family's 1533-position model. The record is from RNAcentral.
GACGAACGCUGGCGGCGUGCCUAACACAUGCAAGUCGAACGGUGAAGCGCCUUCCUUUUUGGUGGGUGUGGAUGAGUGGCGAACGGGUGAGUAACACGUGAGUAACCUGCCCCCUUCUUCUGGAUAACCGCAUGAAAGUGUGGCUAAUACGGGAUAUUCUGGGUCUGUCGCAUGAUGGGUCUGGGAAAGAUAUUGUUUCGGUGGGGGAUGGGCUCGCGGCCUAUCAGCUUGUUGGUGGGGUGAUGGCCUACCAAGGCGGUGACGGGUAGCCGGCCUGAGAGGGUGGACGGUCACACUGGGACUGAGACACGGCCCAGACUCCUACGGGAGGCAGCAGUGGGGAAUAUUGCACAAUGGGCGCAAGCCUGAUGCAGCGACGCCGCGUGAGGGGUGGAGGCCUUCGGGUUGUGAACCUCUUUCGCCAGUGAAGCAGGCCUGCCUCGUUUGUGGGUGGGUUGACGGUAGCUGGAUAAGAAGCGCCGGCUAACUACGUG